Molecule: long non-coding RNA, 538 nt
Organism: Medicago truncatula (barrel medic)
Lineage: Eukaryota; Viridiplantae; Streptophyta; Magnoliopsida; Fabales; Fabaceae
Exons: 2
Source: RefSeq, a predicted model, not a curated record
CGUUUUUUGUUUUUAAUCAGAGAAAGUCACCCCAUUUUCAGACCCUCCUCUAUCUAUCUAUGAUUCUUUUGCAUCUCUCCCCCUUUUCUCUCACACACUUUCUCCCAAAACCAUGGCUGCUUCUUCUCUCUUUCUCCACCAAGCCUCCCUUAUGAGUCACGAUCUCCGAUCUCUUUCCUCCAUCUACCAAACUCUGAUAGCUCUCUCUCCAUUAUGAACACCGAUUGCUGGCCGAAAAAUUUAUUUGUCACACUGAUCCACGCACAUCUCGCCGACUCCGCAAUUUCCGCCGGAACAACAAAUGACCUUCGUAAUUGUCACCGGUGUUUUGGUGCUGUUUGGCGUGGCCGUGUUUUGAGCAUUGGCCCUUUGUAAUCUGUUUUUCUGUUCGCAUUCUUAGGUGUGUCUUACACCUUAGUUCUGCUUAAUAAAAUUUAGGAAGAAAAAAAAUAUGACAUGGCAUUGAUGAAUCCUUAGAUUAUUUUGAGUUUGAUGUAAUUAUGGAUGAUUUUCAAUUAAUUCAAGAUGAAUUACAACA